GAUGAACGCUGGCGGCGUGCCUAAUACAUGCAAGUCGAGCGAACAGACGAGGAGCUUGCUCCUCUGACGUUAGCGGCGGACGGGUGAGUAACACGUGGAUAACCUACCUAUAAGACUGGGAUAACUUCGGGAAACCGGAGCUAAUACCGGAUAAUAUAUUGAACCGCAUGGUUCAAUAGUGAAAGACGGUUUUGCUGUUACUUAUAGAUGGAUCCGCGCCGCAUUAGCUAGUUGGUAAGGUAGCGGCUUACCAAGGCAACGAUGCGUAGCCGACCUGAGAGGGUGAUCGGCCACACUGGAACUGAGACACGGUCCAGACUCCUACGGGAGGCAGCAGUAGGGAAUCUUCCGCAAUGGGCGAAAGCCUGACGGAGCAACGCCGCGUGAGUGAUGAAGGUCUUCGGAUCGUAAAACUCUGUUAUUAGGGAAGAACAAAUGUGUAAGUAACUAUGCACGUCUUGACGGUACCUAAUCAGAAAGCCACGGCUAACUACGUG
This 497-nucleotide ribosomal RNA is filed under the name uncultured bacterium. RNAcentral describes it as "partial 16S ribosomal RNA". It matches the Rfam family "Bacterial small subunit ribosomal RNA", at positions 28 to 507 of the family's 1533-position model. The record is from RNAcentral.